UGGGGAAUUUUGGACAAUGGGCGAAAGCCUGAUCCAGCAAUGCCGCGUGUGUGAAGAAGGCCUUCGGGUUGUAAAGCACUUUUGUCCGGAAAGAAAUCCUUGGCUCUAAUACAGUCGGGGGAUGACGGUACCGGAAGAAUAAGCACCGGCUAACUACGUGCCAGCAGCCGCGGUAAUACGUAGGGUGCAAGCGUUAAUCGGAAUUACUGGGCGUAAAGCGUGCGCAGGCGGUUUGCUAAGACCGAUGUGAAAUCCCCGGGCUCAACCUGGGAACUGCAUUGGUGACUGGCAGGCUAGAGUAUGACAGAGGGGGGUAGAAUUCCACGUGUAGCAGUGAAAUGCGUAGAGAUGUGGAGGAAUACCGAUGGCGAAGGCAGCCCCCUGGGCCAAUACUGACGCUCAUGCACGAAAGCGUGGGGGAGCAAACAGGAUUAGAUACCCCGGUAGUCCACGCCCUAAACGAUGUCAACUAGUUGUUGGGGAUUCAUUUCCUUAGUAACGUAGCUAACGCGUGAAGUUGACCGCCUGGGGAGUACGGUCG
RNAcentral lists this ribosomal RNA (541 nucleotides) under uncultured bacterium. Its description in RNAcentral is "partial 16S ribosomal RNA". It matches the Rfam family "Bacterial small subunit ribosomal RNA", at positions 355 to 888 of the family's 1533-position model. The record is from RNAcentral.